CAGGCAUCGUGGCAGCAAUGAAGCUGUGCACCUGGGAUGGGUUCCCUAAGGGCCAGAGGCAUCACCAGGGGAUCUAGACUGAUGUGAUCCUCCUUCCCUCCCUGAGCCUGCUCUGUCCAUUAGAAGUUCUCCCAGAAGCUGAAGUGAAGCCGUAUUUAAGAAAGAUGGCCUUUUUUGGGACAAGAUCAAGCAAUGAAAAGGGCCUUAGUAAAAGACCAACAAGAGCUUUCAAAUGACAGAAUCUGCCAAAUACAGGAACACAGAAACUACUGGUGCUUCUUGAAGGGAGUUUUUAAUGCCCAGUCCUCAAAGCCUUGUGAGAGUAGCUGUGCUUAGAAAUCAAGAAGGUUGCACACUGCCAGCACAGAGCUUAAAAAUAUUAAGAGAUGCAACGGAUUUGUCCUGGCCCUCUGUGAAGAGGACUUUGCGGCCAAAACCUCAUCACCUAUGCAUGCAGUAGCAGUACCUAUGGGCUGAGAUGAGAAUGAGGACUGCUGGUAACGUCAAGCCUAGAGAGAGAGAGAGCAGAAACAGGCAUACAAUUUAGGAAUGCAGCUAUAGUGUGAACGUUGUGGUUUGUGUUGCUUUUAGUAUUUCCAGGUUGCAAAAUUUCAUGCUUUUUGCUGUUCUCAUGGCUAAACACAGACUACUGCUCUGGGCCCUGACUGUGUCCCUCCUUGGAGUACGGAGUAAUCCCAGGGAGAAUGUGCCCCUGACAUGUCUUUGCACUGCUCUCUACAGAAAAAUCACACAGGAUCACGAACAGAAUAUUCCCGUUGGACUCCUAAGCAUGUGCUACUAGAGUUAAAAACAUCGUGAGAUUUAGCUCUUUAAUGUACCCACAUCUAGAAUAUUAAUUUCAUGCUACUGUUGGCGAUGAAAAGAUUGAUCCUGUAAUGAAAGGAAUAUUAGUCAAGGGAUGAAGAGAAGGUCACUCAAUUUAUCUCAGCACUGGAAGAAGCGGUAUUCUUUGCUGAUUUUGUAAAAAGCUGUUAAUGUCUCAGAAGACCAAGGGAAUAGAUGGUACCAGCUGAUUCUUUAAUUUAGCCACUGAAAUAUUUUGUUAAUAUUUAUAAAUUUUUAAGGAUCUAAUCCUGUAAAGUCUUGUUUAUAUGAAUAAUCCUUACUCACAAAGAGUCUUGCUGAAUUAUGUAGGGUUUUUUGCACUGGAAAAAAAUAAUUUGUGUAAAGAUCAGUACUACCGGGCCCUUAAAUAUUUACAAACACUCCUCAAAAUUAUUUUAUGAAGGAAACGGAAGAACCAUCUGGUAUCCCCCGUUAUUUAAUGCUCCCUGAUUCUCCUAACUACGUGUAGAAGUCAGCAAAUAUUAGCAUUUUCUUUCUUAUCUGAGGGCAGCCAAAUUACCUUCUUCUUAUCCUGUAGACUUACACUCCUUCCUAACAGAGGACUAAUCCUUUCACUUCUACUUAUGUAAAAUGGACAGACAAUGCCAGUAAGCCAGUCAGCAAAUCUGCUAUGGAGUUUGUUCCAGGACCAAAGUUUCUCUCACCCAGAAUAAUAACCUAGUCUUUCUUCUGCACAUAACCAUCAUGACAUCAGCAGUAUUUCAGUCCUGAAAAAUCUGUGACAUUUUUAACAGCAAGUAGCUGUGCAUCCCUUUACAGUAAUUUUCCCCAGAAAGAAGUACUCUGUUCUUCUUUUCAGAGAUAUACUAAAUACCCACUUUUCAACAGCAGUUGUGGACGCUUAGCUGCUCUCAGGAGUGAGUCUUUGAAUACAAACCUGCAAACCAACUACACAUGUGCAGCUGG
Molecule: long non-coding RNA, 1773 nt
Organism: Hirundo rustica (Barn swallow)
Lineage: Eukaryota; Metazoa; Chordata; Aves; Passeriformes; Hirundinidae
Exons: 3
Source: RefSeq, a predicted model, not a curated record